Molecule: microRNA, 21 nt
Filed under: Drosophila mojavensis
Lineage: Eukaryota; Metazoa; Arthropoda; Insecta; Diptera; Drosophilidae
Description: Dmo-Mir-974_5p (mature (guide))
Source: RNAcentral
GAGCGAGCAGAGAAGUAUUAU